This 595-nucleotide ribosomal RNA is filed under the name uncultured bacterium. RNAcentral's name for it is "bacterial SSU rRNA". The stretch from base 1 to 524 matches the Rfam family "Bacterial small subunit ribosomal RNA", at positions 338 to 873 of the family's 1533-position model. The record is from RNAcentral.
CCUACGGGAGGCAGCAGUGGGGAAUAUUGGGCAAUGGAGGAAACUCUGACCCAGCGACGCCGCGUGCGGGAUGAAGGCCUUCGGGUUGUAAACCGCUUUCAGCAGGGAAGAGGCGAAAGUGACGGUACCUGCAGAAGAAGCACCGGCUAACUAUGUGCCAGCAGCCGCGGUAAUACAUAGGGUGCAAGCGUUGUCCGGAAUUAUUGGGCGUAAAGAGCUCGUAGGUGGUUCGUCACGUCGGAUGUGAAAAUCUGGGGCUUAACCCCAGACCUGCAUUCGAUACGGGCGAGCUUGAGUAUGGUAGGGGAGUCUGGAAUUCCUGGUGUAGCGGUGGAAUGCGCAGAUAUCAGGAGGAACACCAAUGGCGAAGGCAGGACUCUGGGCCAUUACUGACACUGAGGAGCGAAAGCGUGGGGAGCGAACAGGAUUAGAUACCCUGGUAGUCCACGCCGUAAACGGUGGGCACUAGUUGUGGGGACCUUCCACGGUCUCUGCGACGCAGCUAACGCAUUAAGUGCCCCGCCUGGGGNGUACGAUCGCAGAUAAACUACAAGAGUAGUAGACGNGNGAGAGCGACGACGACGACGAGGAGGAG